This 334-nucleotide unclassified non-coding RNA is filed under the name soil metagenome. Its description in RNAcentral is "partial contains 5.8S ribosomal RNA, internal transcribed spacer 2, and large subunit ribosomal RNA". The stretch from base 1 to 120 matches the Rfam family "5.8S ribosomal RNA", at positions 35 to 154 of the family's 154-position model. The record is from RNAcentral.
GAUGAAGAACGUAGCGAAAUGCGAUACGUAAUGUGAAUUGCAGAAUUCAGUGAAUCAUCGAAUCUUUGAACGCACAUUGCGCCCGCCAGCACUCUGGCGGGCAUGCCUGUUCGAGCGUCAUUUCAACCAUCAAGCCCCAGGCUUGCGUUGGAGCCCUGCGGCUGCCGCAGCCCCCUAAAAGCAGUGGCGGGCUCGCUAUCACACCGAGUGCAGUAGAUUACUCUUCGCUCAGGGCGUGCAGCGGGUUCCGGCCGUGAAACCCCCUACUUUUAAAGGUUGACCUCGGAUCAGGUAGGAAUACCCGCUGAACUUAAGCAUAUCAAUAAGCGGAGGA